CCUACGGGUGGCUGCAGUGGGGAAUAUUGGACAAUGGGCGAAAGCCUGAUCCAGCCAUGCCGCGUGUGUGAAGAAGGCCUUCGGGUUGUAAAGCACUUUCAGUGGGGAAGAAGGCCUUGGGGCUAAUACCCUCGAGGAAGGACAUCACCCACAGAAGAAGCACCGGCUAACUCCGUGCCAGCAGCCGCGGUAAUACGGAGGGUGCGAGCGUUAAUCGGAAUUACUGGGCGUAAAGCGCGCGUAGGCGGUUUGAUAAGCCGGUUGUGAAAGCCCCGGGCUCAACCUGGGAACGGCAUCCGGAACUGUCAGGCUAGAGUGCAGGAGAGGAAGGUAGAAUUCCCGGUGUAGCGGUGAAAUGCGUAGAGAUCGGGAGGAAUACCAGUGGCGAAGGCGGCCUUCUGGACUGACACUGACGCUGAGGUGCGAAAGCGUGGGUAGCAAACAGGAUUAGAUACCCUUGUAGUC
Molecule: ribosomal RNA, 465 nt
Filed under: Vreelandella stevensii
Lineage: Bacteria; Pseudomonadati; Pseudomonadota; Gammaproteobacteria; Oceanospirillales; Halomonadaceae
Description: partial 16S ribosomal RNA
Rfam family: Bacterial small subunit ribosomal RNA
Source: RNAcentral